UGUGUACUUUCUCCGUCCGAAAAUACUUGUCAUCAAAAUGGAUGAAUACAUCCCGUCCGAAAAUACUUGUCAUCAAAAUGGAUGAAUACAUCCAUAUUCAUCCAUUUUAAUGACAAGUAUUUUCGGACGGAGGGAGUAGUCA
Non-coding RNA from Triticum urartu, 142 nucleotides. The record is from Rfam. Lineage: Eukaryota; Viridiplantae; Streptophyta; Magnoliopsida; Poales; Poaceae.